Scylla paramamosain (green mud crab) is the source of this 475-nucleotide long non-coding RNA. RefSeq lists it as uncharacterized. Lineage: Eukaryota; Metazoa; Arthropoda; Malacostraca; Decapoda; Portunidae. The record is from RefSeq and is a predicted model, not a curated record. The transcript is spliced from 3 exons.
CAGCAAGAACGAAGCCCGAAGGGACAGAUUCCUUUGUACCACCACUGAGUUCGGGUGUGACUACUCCAGGAAAGAUCGGACCUCUAAAGUACAGACGCAGGUGUUGCUUGGUGACAGGCCUCCUUAAGACCCCAAACACAAAAUCCGCGAUGUCCCUCGGAGGCGUGGCCGUGUAAAGUGUGACCAGGAGGUGGUGGCGGCCACCAAGCACCAUGAGUUGCGGGUGCUGGCGGUCACCACACACCCACACUUCGUCAAGACAACACCUGGCAUCAUCUUCUAGCGGUCAGGAAGAUGCCCCUCACUCUCUGCCCUACGCCACCCAAGCCUGCUUUUUUCCCUGCGGAGUGACAGGAAGGCCAAGAGACUUAGUUUCGAGUCAGUCAAAAAGGGCCUGGGAAAACACCACAGGCUUGGUAAUCCAAAGGUAACUACACUUGUUCCUCGUGUUGGUGUUGAAAAGCACAUAGCACAC